Molecule: long non-coding RNA, 788 nt
Organism: Dalotia coriaria
Lineage: Eukaryota; Metazoa; Arthropoda; Insecta; Coleoptera; Staphylinidae
Exons: 2
Source: RefSeq, a predicted model, not a curated record
UUUUAUACAUUUACAUUUUAUACCAUAUUGUGACUAUGGAAUCAAAAUGACCAUAAGAAAUUAAAUUAAUGAUUCAUUUGUUUCUGUAUUUUUCCGUAAUUUUACAAAUUACCUAAGUUAUCAAAUACUCUCCCUAAUUAUAUAUUAUAUUGUUUAAGAUUAAAACGGUUUUGUUCUUAUUCUCACUGCCUCUCAUACAGAAGCUAAUAACUAGAAGUUUUGCACAUUGGCCAAACAGAUUCAACAAAAAAAUGCAUGAUGCCGAAUAUGAAAGUGAUGAGUAUGUAACUGAUGACGACUAUGAAAGUGAUGUCGAGUAUGAAAAUAUUGAAGAUGAUGACUUUAAUUUCUCGCCACCUCAGAAUCCAGACAACUUCAAUAUCAACCGAAUGCAUUACACACCACUGCUAGGCGAGAUCCCUCGACCCGAUGUGGUAUUUCGGAUUUUAGCAGAAAUUCCCCGUACCGAUGGUGGCAUGUAUAUAUUAUACGAAGAGUUAUCGCCUACGGAAGAAGAACUAGAAGCUUAUAAACAACAUCUAAUUUUAGACGAUUCGCUUUCAUGUGAAAAAGUAUUAUGCAUGAGGACCCAAAACAGAGAAAAGCAAGUGAGGAUUAAACGGAGGCAGCGGUUUGCAAAUGUCACUAGACAGUUAUUUGCGGAAGAUAAAAUUAUAUCAAAAUAACGAAAAUUUACUAAUAUUAUGCCAAAUAAUUGCUGCAGAUAGUUAUUAUUGUGUUAUAAGAAUUAUUUAUUAUUGUUUUUAAAUAAAUAUGUAUCUAGUGUA